This is a non-coding RNA of Gorilla gorilla gorilla (western lowland gorilla), 148 nucleotides long. It matches the Rfam family "Metazoan signal recognition particle RNA". Rfam says of the family: The signal recognition particle (SRP) is a universally conserved ribonucleoprotein. It is involved in the co-translational targeting of proteins to membranes. The record is from Rfam. NCBI's taxonomy places the organism in Eukaryota, Metazoa, Chordata, Mammalia, Primates, Hominidae.
GCCAGGUGUGGUGGCUCAUGCCUGUAAUCCCAGCUACUCAGGAGGCUGAGGCAGGGGAAUCGCUUGAACCCGGGAAGCAGAGGUUGCAGUGAGCCGAGAUCACACCAUUGCACUCCAGCCUGGGUGACAGAGCGAGACUCUGUCUCAA